GAGCCGGUAGCUCAGUCCGGCAGAGCGUUUGGGUUUUAACCAGAUGGUCGGGGGUUCAAAUCCCUCUCGGCCUG
This 74-nucleotide transfer RNA is filed under the name halophilic archaeon J07HX64. RNAcentral's name for it is "tRNA-Lys". It matches the Rfam family "tRNA". Rfam says of the family: Transfer RNA (tRNA) molecules are approximately 80 nucleotides in length. Their secondary structure includes four short double-helical elements and three loops (D, anti-codon, and T loops). Further hydrogen bonds mediate the characteristic L-shaped molecular structure. tRNAs have two regions of fundamental functional importance: the anti-codon, which is responsible for specific mRNA codon recognition, and the 3' end, to which the tRNAs corresponding amino acid is attached (by aminoacyl-tRNA synthetases). tRNAs cope with the degeneracy of the genetic code in two manners: having more than one tRNA (with a specific anti-codon) for a particular amino acid; and 'wobble' base-pairing, i.e. permitting non-standard base-pairing at the 3rd anti-codon position. The record is from RNAcentral. Lineage: Archaea; Methanobacteriati; Methanobacteriota; Halobacteria; Halobacteriales.